UACGAAGGGGGCUAGCGUUGCUCGGAAUCACUGGGCGUAAAGGGUGCGUAGGCGGUUCUUUAAGUCAGGGGUGAAAUCCUGGAGCUCAACUCCAGAACUGCCUUUGAUACUGAAGAUCUUGAGUUCGGGAGAGGUGAGUGGAACUGCGAGUGUAGAGGUGAAAUUCGUAGAUAUUCGCAAGAACACCAGUGGCGAAGGCGGCUCACUGGCCCGAUACUGACGCUGAGGAGCGAAAGCGUGGGGAGCGAACAGG
This 253-nucleotide ribosomal RNA is filed under the name uncultured bacterium. RNAcentral's name for it is "partial 16S ribosomal RNA". It matches the Rfam family "Bacterial small subunit ribosomal RNA", at positions 524 to 776 of the family's 1533-position model. The record is from RNAcentral.